ACCCCUGGCCAAAUCACACUGCAUGCACCGCUCAAACUCCUCAGAGCUCGGAAGCUAAGGAGGUCUAAGCCUGGUUAAUUCUUAGAUGGGUCACCACCGGUGAAUGUCAGAUGUUGUCGGUA
Molecule: ribosomal RNA, 122 nt
Filed under: Petromyzon marinus (sea lamprey)
Lineage: Eukaryota; Metazoa; Chordata; Hyperoartia; Petromyzontiformes; Petromyzontidae
Source: RNAcentral